GCGAAGACUUUACAAUGCUGGCAACAGCGAUAAGGGAACCUCGAGUGCCAGGUUACAAAUCUGGCUGUCGAGAUGCCUAAAAAGCAUUUCAUAGCAAGGGCCGGGCAAGACCGGUGCCAGCCGCCGCGGUAACACUGGCGGCUCGAGUGGUAACCGUUAUUAUUGGGUCUAAGGGGUCUGUAGCCGGCCGGAUAAGUCUCUUGGGAAAGCUGGCAGCUUAACUGUCAGGCUUUCAGGAGAUACUGUCUGGCUCGAGGCCGGGAGAGGUGAGAGGUACUUCAGGGGUAGGGGUGAAAUCUUGUAAUCCUUGAAGGACCACCAGUGGCGAAGGCGUCUCACCAGAACGGACCUGACGGCAAGGGACGAAAGCUAGGGGCACGAACC
RNAcentral lists this ribosomal RNA (384 nucleotides) under uncultured prokaryote. Its description in RNAcentral is "bacterial SSU rRNA". It matches the Rfam family "Archaeal small subunit ribosomal RNA", at positions 341 to 725 of the family's 1478-position model. The record is from RNAcentral.